UACGAAGGGGGCUAGCGUUGCUCGGAAUCACUGGGCGUAAAGCGCACGUAGGCGGAUUGUUAAGUCAGGGGUGAAAUCCUGGAGCUCAACUCCAGAACUGCCUUUGAUACUGGCGAUCUCGAGUUCGGGAGAGGUGAGUGGAACUGCGAGUGUAGAGGUGAAAUUCGUAGAUAUUCGCAAGAACACCAGUGGCGAAGGCGGCUCACUGGCCCGAUACUGACGCUGAGGUACGAAAGCGUGGGGAGCAAACAGG
Molecule: ribosomal RNA, 253 nt
Filed under: uncultured bacterium
Lineage: Bacteria
Description: partial 16S ribosomal RNA
Rfam family: Bacterial small subunit ribosomal RNA
Source: RNAcentral